Non-coding RNA from Gossypium raimondii (Peruvian cotton), 144 nucleotides. NCBI's taxonomy places the organism in Eukaryota, Viridiplantae, Streptophyta, Magnoliopsida, Malvales, Malvaceae. The record is from Rfam.
UGUUAAAAAAUUCGUCAUUUCUACUAUUAAAAAUUAGUGCGACUGACGAAAUAACUAGACAAUUCCACGUAAUAUAUCACAUGUACCUUAUGUUGACGUAUAAAUAUUAGUUUUUAAUAUUAAAAAUAGACGAAAAUUUUAACA